Non-coding RNA from Acanthosepion pharaonis, 112 nucleotides. The record is from the annotation of a GenBank genome assembly. NCBI's taxonomy places the organism in Eukaryota, Metazoa, Mollusca, Cephalopoda, Sepiida, Sepiidae.
ACGGUCAUAUCACAUUUAAACGCCGGUUUUCGUACGAUCACUGAAGUUAAGCAAUGUCGAGCCUGGUCAGUACCUAAAUGGCUGACCGCUUGGGAAUACCAAGUGCUGCAAG